GAAAUGCGAUAAAUAAUGUGAAUUGCAGAAUUCAGUGAAUCAUCGAAUCUUUGAACGCACCUUGCGCUCCUUGGUAUUCCUCGGAGCAUGCCUGUUUGAGUAUCAUGAAAUCUUCAAAGUAAAUCUUUUGUUAACUCAAUUGGUUUCUACUUUGGUAUUGGAGGUCUUUGCAGCUUCACACCUGCUCCUCUUUGUUCAUUAGCUGGAUCUCAGUGUUAUGCUUGGUUCCACUCGGCGUGAUAAGUUAUCUAUCGCUGAGGACACUGUAAAAGGUGGCCAAGGUAAAUGCAGAUGAACCGCUUCUAAUAGUCCAUUGACUUGGACAAUACUUUUAUGAUCUGAUCUCAAAUCAGGUAGGACUACCCGCUGAACUUAAGC
Molecule: unclassified non-coding RNA, 378 nt
Filed under: plant metagenome
Description: partial contains 5.8S ribosomal RNA, internal transcribed spacer 2, and large subunit ribosomal RNA
Rfam family: 5.8S ribosomal RNA (bases 1-105)
Source: RNAcentral